This is a long non-coding RNA of Cavia porcellus (domestic guinea pig), 1004 nucleotides long. RefSeq lists it as uncharacterized. The record is from RefSeq and is a predicted model, not a curated record. The transcript has 2 exons. Lineage: Eukaryota; Metazoa; Chordata; Mammalia; Rodentia; Caviidae.
UUCAUAAAACCAAUUAAGACCUCAAGGCCGGGGCACAGGAGCAAGCGGGAGGCCGGCAGCUCUGGUGACAGUGGGAGCCAACUCUAAGGAUAGAGCGGUACCUGCAGCUGCCUCCUCCCAGCUCCAGACACAGGGACCCCUGCGACCCAGACUAGCACAGAUGCAAUGGCAGGGGCAGUGUCAGAGGCAGGGAAGGGCUGGCAGGCUGCGAGGGGCAGCGAGCACGGGAGCGGUUUCUUCCCUUUCGUGACCAGCAGCCAGCAGAGCCUGAUUCCUCCCCCCACAGCCCUUUCUGGUUCCAGAAAACCUCAAGAGCUUCCCAUCCGGUUACCAAGGCAACUGUAGCCCUGCAAGAUUCAUAGUGAUGUUGGAGAGAGAGAGCAGAGAUUGACAGGAGCCCCAGACAGGAUGCCAGGGAAAAGGCAUCCAGGGGCUUUGGGCCAGAGCAAGCUGCACCACUCCCUGUUCAGCCUACUCCAGCUCUGUUUUCCUGCAGACUGUGUACCCAGCCCCAUGUGAGUGAAAAGACAGCAAAGAAGCAUCCCUCCCUGUCAGCUCUGUACCUCACUAAUCCAGCUGCACACGUGAGUGUCCUGGGGUCUGCCUACAUGUCACACACUAAAAAUGCAGCUGGGGAAGAAGCCACAUCCCACAAUGAGCUUGUGGCCACAGGCCUGGAGGAAAACAAGCCACACCCCAAGGCCCUGCCACCAGUGGGGGAGUACUGGUGCAUCUCUUCACUACCCCAGGAACCUCGAAUCAGAGGAACCUAGGUAUCUAGCCCAAUCCCCCGUUACCACAGAUGGGCAGCCAGUGCAGGAAGCAACCAGGACUCAGUAACAGGCUGAUUCAGAGGAACACAGAAAAAUGUCAAAACAAAGCAGCAGGUGCAACCUCAGACCUUUAAUCUACCCAGAAGAAAUCCAGGAGACACAGACACAAAAUAAAUUAGAAGUUACGCACCUGAAAUUUCUGAAAUGAUAGCAAUUAAAGUAAAGAAAGAA